This 1223-nucleotide unclassified non-coding RNA is filed under the name Hevea brasiliensis (rubber tree). Lineage: Eukaryota; Viridiplantae; Streptophyta; Magnoliopsida; Malpighiales; Euphorbiaceae. The record is from RNAcentral.
UGCUAAGAAACAUAAUUUAUACAGUGAAUAUAUGAUAACACAGCUCCAUUGCCAAUAACAAGUUAAGAAGUGUACCUAUGAAAUGUAACCUUCUUUUCUCCCCUUCAGGAAGAGAAUGAUUGAACAAAUUUGGUAAGAUUGGAAGACUGGUGUUGUAAGAAACUCUACUUCUGCAUAAGUUGAUUGUUUUGUUGCAUAAGAUGGUUGAUACUCAAUUUGCACCAAUAUGAACAGCCAUGUCAAGACCAACAUGUUUGUUUUCACCCGAUUCAGAUAUGGACUCUCCGACAUGUUUGUUUCCAACCAAUUCAGGUUUGGACUCUUCGACGUGUUUGUUUCCAUCUGAUUCAGUUUUGGACUCUCCAACAUGUUUGUUUUCACCUGAUUCGGCUUUGGACUCUUUGACAUGUUUGGUUUCACCUGCUUCAGUUUUCGACUCUCUGAUAUGUUUCAUUUCACCUGAUUCAGUUUUGGACUCCACGACAUGUUUCUUUUCACCUGAUUCGGUUCUGGAGUCUUCACGUAUGCCUGCUGUACCGGCAUCAGGUGCUACUGAAAUUUGGCUUAUAGGCCUAGACGUUGGGAAAUCAUGGACAUGCUGUCCUUCAUAUGUUGUAAUGACUAAUUUUGGAUCAUGGGAUGCCCUCUCCACAUGCUUCUUCACAGGGCAACCUGCAACCGAGCAUCGGUAGUAACUCCUCGGAUUUGGAUUGCCUUUGACAAUUUUUUGCCCAUAUUUGCGCCAGCGCUGACCAUCGUUGAUUAUAUCUACUUCGCUCACGGUCUGAACAAUGUGUCGUGGUUCACUAUGGGACUUAACAGGUGGAGUAUCAUCCGUAGCUACUGUGUCCUUUUUUUGUUUUUUUGAGUCUGCACUAUCACCCUUAUCGACUUCAUUUUCUAAUUUAUAUCGCUUCAAAGGCGUAACCUUCACACUAUCACAAGCUGAUACAAUGGCCAACGCUAGAGGGGCUUCUGGUGGCUUACUAGGUUCACAUGUUUCUCGGGGCGUAGAAGAUUUCUCACCUUCAGCUUCUAAUGCAGUGAUAAUUGGAAUGUCUGGCCGUUUCAUUUGCAAAGGGAGUACAUACUCGGGGGACAUCUGGGGAACACUUAGAGUUUCCGGAUGCUCAUGCUUCCCAAUAUAGUGGAUAUCUGUAAUAUGUCCGUCAUGUGAUCUCUCCACUUGCUUUUUUGCUAGACAAUUAGGGAAUGUGCACUUG